Molecule: ribosomal RNA, 343 nt
Filed under: uncultured bacterium
Lineage: Bacteria
Description: bacterial SSU rRNA
Rfam family: Bacterial small subunit ribosomal RNA
Source: RNAcentral
GGACCCGCACAAGCGGUGGAGUAUGUGGUUUAAUUCGAUGCAACACGAAGAACCUUACCAGGGUUUGAAAUCAUUUCAAAACUCCUUGAAAGAGGAGCCUCCUUCGGGAUGAAAUGACAGGUGGUGCAUGGCUGUCGUCAGCUCGUGUUGUGAAAUGUCGAGUUAAGUCUCGUAACGAGCGCAACCCAUGUCUCUUGUUGCUCACUGAGUGCUUAAGAGAGACUGCCGACCAACAUCGGAGGAAGGUGUGGAUGAUGUCAAGUCAGCAUGCCCCUUACAUCCUGGGGCUACACACGUACUACAAUGGUAAGGACAAUGAGUCGCAAGCUCGCGAGAGUCUGCU